UGCGCUGUAGCUCAACGGUAGAGCAACCGGCUGUUAACCGGUAGGUUAUAGGUUCGAAUCCUAUCAGCGCAG
This 72-nucleotide transfer RNA is filed under the name Bacillota bacterium. Its description in RNAcentral is "tRNA-Asn". It matches the Rfam family "tRNA". Rfam says of the family: Transfer RNA (tRNA) molecules are approximately 80 nucleotides in length. Their secondary structure includes four short double-helical elements and three loops (D, anti-codon, and T loops). The record is from RNAcentral. Lineage: Bacteria; Bacillati; Bacillota.